Molecule: long non-coding RNA, 319 nt
Filed under: Gossypium barbadense (sea-island cotton)
Lineage: Eukaryota; Viridiplantae; Streptophyta; Magnoliopsida; Malvales; Malvaceae
Description: long non-coding RNA (GBAR_LNC008866)
Source: RNAcentral
UUGAAUUUGGAAUUACGGGGUUGGUUGUAGCAAAUGUGAAAUGUAUGAAAGAAUAGUAAAAUGAAAGAUGAAGGAGUUAAAAGGAAUGAAUUGAUAUAUUAUAUGCAUGUUAUAAUGUUUGAAUAUUUAUUUUAACUGCAUAUGAACAUUCGGCUAAUUAUGAAAAUGUGAGAUUGGAAGUGAUGAGUAGUUAUGUGAAAGAGUAUAUGUAUAUUAAAAAAUGUUGGAAAUUAUAUGUGAAUGAUUGAUAGAUAUAUGGACUGAUAAAUUUGGAUGAAUAUGUGAUUAUGGAAGUAUGACUCGGUUAUUUAAUUGGACU